UGCAUGUGGAUGCCUAACAUUCACACACACGUUGCCAGGCUUCUAAUUACCAUGUACUAAAUUUUCUUCUGCAAAAGAUGAAGUCAUCUAUUUUGGACAGUUUGGGAGCAAACUUUGAACACUGUGCGAUCUUUGUCGCUCACAUCCACAAUUCUCACCACUUGUUGUGAAAUAUACUACAUGAAGUUAAAGAUAGUUUACGUCCAGAGGUUUAAAAGGGUGCAGCCUCCACACGUCUACAAGAAUGGGCGACCUUGAAGUAUAUUCAAGUUGCCGAGAAAGAGAAUAAAU
This is a long non-coding RNA of Asterias rubens (European starfish), 291 nucleotides long. RefSeq lists it as uncharacterized. Lineage: Eukaryota; Metazoa; Echinodermata; Asteroidea; Forcipulatida; Asteriidae. The transcript is spliced from 3 exons. The record is from RefSeq and is a predicted model, not a curated record.